AUUUGGAAAUUUAUAUUUCUUCAUUAUUAUAAAGAUUAUUAAUAAUAUUAGAUUAUCAAAUGUUCCUAAAUUAAAAUUUUAUUUGUGUUAAGAAAAUGUCGAGACAACAACAAAACUAAGUUACGAUCAUCAUGGAUUUGUUAAGGGCGGUACAAGAUUUGGGUAGGCAACAAGCACAGGGUGGUCCCCAUGGUACAAACGCUAACAACACCAACUCAAUCGUGGAACAGUUCCGUUGCUACAAACCCCCAACCUUCGAUAACAAGACAGACCCACUAGCAGCUGAAGAAUGGAUAAGAGGAAUGUAGCGAAUCUUCAAACAUCUAUCUUGCACUGAUGCUCAAAAGUUGUUAUGUGCAAAAUUUAUGUUGGUUGACGCAGCAGGCCAUUGGUGGGAGUCAGCAUCUCGCACUAGAACAGAAGCACAAUAACAUGCUAUGACUUGAAUGCAAUUUAAGGAGGAAGUGAUAGAAAAAUACUUCCCACAAGCCUCGAGGGAUCGAAAGGAUACAAAGUUCCUUCAACUUAAGCAAGAAAAGAUGAAGCUUGAAGAAUAUGAAAGAAAAUUCGAGCAACUCUCAAGGUAUGCACCACACCUAGUAGAUAUUGAAGCAAAGAAAGCAAGGAAGGUCCAAUUGGGAUUGCAUCCUGAGAUUGGUGGAAUAAUGGUAUCCCACCAAUUCACCACCUAUAAUCGCGUUUUGCAAACUGAUCAAGCCACACACCCAUCUUAGAUCCUCUUAAAUCCCCGUAGGAAUUUCAUAUCUCUUUCUCUAGAACCCGAAGGUCCAUUAGUAAUUCAUGCAUAUUUAAUUGCAUAUAAAAUCAUAUAUAAAUGAAAAUAACUUGCACAUAUAUAUCUUACCUUGUUUAAAAAAUAUAAAAAUCUGAAUGUACGUUCAAAUUCUUUUCUUUGCUUUGGUGAAAGAUUAUCUACUGGUAGUAAUAUUUGAGGCAUAUAACUUCCUGAUUUCAAACGUUAUUCUCUCUCUCUCUCUCUGCCAUAUGAGGGUAUAAGAACUUGUGUGGCCCCCAGGGCAUAUCUCCCAGUGGCAAAGGGGAGGGCGGAUAGGGCUCAGCGCGGCAGUGUGCAGAGUUCGAUUCCCCGCAAGGUGGAAUUGGCUUUGUU
This 1129-nucleotide long non-coding RNA is filed under the name Olea europaea subsp. europaea. The record is from RNAcentral. Lineage: Eukaryota; Viridiplantae; Streptophyta; Magnoliopsida; Lamiales; Oleaceae.